This 301-nucleotide ribosomal RNA is filed under the name uncultured bacterium. Its description in RNAcentral is "partial 16S ribosomal RNA". It matches the Rfam family "Bacterial small subunit ribosomal RNA", at positions 509 to 807 of the family's 1533-position model. The record is from RNAcentral.
CAGCCGCCGCGGGAAUACGUAGGGUGCAAGCGUUAAUCGGAAUUACUGGGCGUAAAGCGUGCGCAGGCGGUUUUGUAAGACAGUGGUGAAAUCCCCGGGCUCAACCUGGGAACUGCCAUUGUGACUGCAAGGCUAGAGUGCGGCAGAGGGGGAUGGAAUUCCGCGUGUAGCAGUGAAAUGCGUAGAUAUGCGGAGGAACACCGAUGGCGAAGGCAAUCCCCUGGGCCUGCACUGACGCUCAUGCACGAAAGCGUGGGGAGCAAACAGGAUUAGAUACCCCAGUAGUCCCUGUCUCUUAUAC